RNAcentral lists this ribosomal RNA (497 nucleotides) under uncultured bacterium. RNAcentral describes it as "partial 16S ribosomal RNA". It matches the Rfam family "Bacterial small subunit ribosomal RNA", at positions 28 to 507 of the family's 1533-position model. The record is from RNAcentral.
GAUGAACGCUGGCGGCGUGCCUAAUACAUGCGAGUCGAGCGAACGGACGAGAAGCUUGCUUCUCUGAUGUUAGCGGCGGACGGGUGAGUAACACGUGGAUAACCUACCUAUAAGACUGGGAUAACUUCGGGAAACCGUAGCUAAUACCGGAUAAUAUUUUGAACCGCAUGGUUCAAAAGUGAAAGACGGUCUUGCUGUCACUUAUAGAUGGAUCCGCGCUGCAUUAGCUAGUUGGUAAGGUAACGGCUUACCAAGGCAACGAUGCAUAGCCGACCUGAGAGGGUGAUCGGCCACACUGGAACUGAGACACGGUCCAGGCUCCUACGGGAGGCAGCAGUAGGGAAUCUUCCGCAAUGGGCGAAAGCCUGACGGAGCAACGCCGCGUGAGUGAUGAAGGUCUUCGGAUCGUAAAACUCUGUUAUUAGGGAAGAACAUAUGUGUAAGUAACUGUGCACAUCUUGACGGUACCUAAUCAGAAAGCCACGGCUAACUACGUG